This 215-nucleotide ribosomal RNA is filed under the name uncultured bacterium. RNAcentral's name for it is "partial 16S ribosomal RNA". It matches the Rfam family "Bacterial small subunit ribosomal RNA", at positions 118 to 351 of the family's 1533-position model. The record is from RNAcentral.
UGGGAACGUGCCUUUCGGUUCGGGACAACCCAGGGAAACUUGGGCUAAUACCGGAUACGCCCUUCGGGGGAAAGAUUCAUUGCCGAAAGAUCGGCCCGCGUCGGAUUAGCUAGUUGGUGGGGUAAAAGCCUACCAAGGCGACGAUCCGUAGCUGGUCUGAGAGGAUGAUCAGCCACACUGGGACUGAGACACGGCCAGACUCCUACGGGAGGCAG